UACUAGAGUAGCACUCGCAUAUCAAUAAGCGGAGGAAAAGAAACUAACAAGGAUUCCCCUAGUAACGGCGAGUGAAGCGGGAAGAGCUCAAAUUUGAAAUCUUAAAGGGUUUCCCUUUACGAAUUGUAGUUUAAAGAAGUGUUUUCCUGUUGAGGUUUUGGUAAAAGUUCUUUGGAAUAGGACAUCAUAGAGGGUGAGAAUCCCGUAUUUGACCUUUACUUUCAACUUUGUGAUACACUUUCAAAGAGUCGGAUUGUUUGGGAAUGCAGUCCAAAAUGGGUGGUAAAUUUCAUCUAAAGCUAAAUAUUGGCGAGAGACCGAUAGCGAACAAGUACCGUGAGGGAAAGAUGAAAAGAACUUUGAAAAGAGAGUUAAACAGUACGUGAAAUUGUCAAAAGGGAAGCGUUUGACACCAGUGUUGUUUUUCUGAAAAUCAAUUAAAGAACUGUUUAUGCUAAGCUUGUUUAGACUUUAUCAGCUAUCUGUUUAGUUUUGAGCUUUUCUUUAAUGCACUUUUCAGUUAACAAGUCAACAUCAAUUUCUUUUGCUGUAAAAAAGCUUGAGGAAGGUGGCUUGAGAUUCGUCUUAAGUGUUUAUAGCCUCUUGCCUAUGCAGUCGGAGAGAUUGAGGUCUGCAGCGUAGAUCCUUCGGGGCUAAAUGCAUUUGUGCUAAGUUAUAGCAUUUUAUAGACAACUUGUUGACUAUGAUUUGUCUUGUAGCUUACUCGCUUAUGUUAUUUUACCUACGCUUAGGAUGUUGAACUACUGAGACAUAGA
Molecule: ribosomal RNA, 776 nt
Filed under: uncultured Neocallimastigales
Lineage: Eukaryota; Fungi; Neocallimastigomycota; Neocallimastigomycetes; Neocallimastigales
Description: partial large subunit ribosomal RNA
Rfam family: Eukaryotic large subunit ribosomal RNA
Source: RNAcentral